AGCUCCACUUCCAGGAAUUAAUCCUGAAAGACAAAUAUCCAGAAGGUGGACAAAGAAGAACAUGGCAGAAUUUAUUUAUAAUAGCAAAAAUCUGGAAACAAUCUAGAAGCCUAGCAGUAACAGCAAGGGAUCGCUCAGCAACAAAGGAGCCAGAAAAGGCAAGGUGUACACACUGUGUGCAGCAUGGGCGAGCCUGCAGGCAUGCAGUCUGUUUGGAGAGGCUGGGAGCAGAGUGAUUAAAAGAGCCAGGCCUGGUUCCAUUCCUGCCCCCUCUUCUAGCUGAGCAACUUCCGCCUCUUCCAGCCUCCCUCACAGGAAUCACAGAUCACGUGAGAUGACACCCGCGAAGGGCUUGAUGGGCAUCUGGCACAUGGUGAGGACUGCAAAAAUGUAGGUUAUUGUUUUUACUAUUAUCCCCAUUUUAUAGAUGAGGAAACUGAGGCUUGGAGAGGCUCUCUGCCUUUGUCAACGUGGAGAUGCUGGGAAGGAAGUGAGGCCCAUCUUACCUCAGAUGCCUGUCCUCUGUCGUCAGGAGUAUUCUCUUGUUCUUCCGGGCUUGGCCAAGCGGUGGUAAACCCCACAUGUGGUUCUGUGGUUGCCCACACAGUCCUAAAAAUAGCCAACAGGAACCCAGGGGCUCCCCCUUGGUGAGUGGCAGCAGGCCCAGUCCUCAGGCAGCCACCGACCUGCUCACUCCCCACAGGCGAGCAGGUCUUGUCUAGGAAGGGGCUGGGUGGUCUGGGUCCCAUGCAUGAUGAGCCAGAGGCUGUGCCAAGCUUGUAGCAAAUAUUAUUUUAUUUCAUUAUGUUUUCUUACAUCUAUGAUGUGGAGGCCAUGGCUCCACUGGACUCACGAGGAGACUGAGGCUCAGAGCAAUGAAGUGACCUGCUCAAAGUUAAGGAGCUUCAGGGAGGACCCAAUUUUUUCUGAUCCUAAGGUCACUAUCCUUAAUCCCUCUCCCUGUGGGGUCUUCCCUAUCUUGAGCCUGUGGACAGCUGUGCAGUGGCAAGAGAAAGGCCUUCAGAACUAUGCAGACCUGGCUUCCAGUCCCAGCCUUCCUGAUGAGCCCUGGUGGUCUUGCAUGCUUGCCCUCGGGACUCAGACACCAUAUUGUGAGGAAGCCCAAGCUACAUGCAGAGGCCACCAUAGUUGUUCUGGCCAACAGCCCAAGCUUCAGCUGCCAGACAUAUGAAUAAACCAACUCUUCAAAUGAUUUCAGUUUCCAGACUUCAAUGCCUCCCAGGUAAUGUCCAGAGGAGCAGAGAUGAACCAUCAUCUCUGAGCCCUGCCCAAAUGCAGACUUGAGAAC
Molecule: long non-coding RNA, 1309 nt
Organism: Symphalangus syndactylus (siamang)
Lineage: Eukaryota; Metazoa; Chordata; Mammalia; Primates; Hylobatidae
Source: RefSeq, a predicted model, not a curated record